UCUUGCCUAUCUAAGUCAAAGAAUUUCAGCACUUUACCUGCCAUACUGAUUAUCAGAGCCACUUUUCAAUUUGCCUAUACCUUCUUUUGGUAGUCCGUUAGUAAAAAUAUAAUUUGAUUUUUUUUGUUCUUAUGAAAUGUUAACCAAAUCACACCAGAAAUUAUUUUCCUGAACAAUAAAUAACUUAAGACAGAGCCUAACAUAGGUUUUCUAGGUAUUCAAAUAUUUACCAAGUACCUUUACUGAACAGGCCUAAUUUUAUUCUGCAGAUAUUCUAAACCAGAUAGACAAGGCCACUGUCUUCACAGAACUUACCAUGGAGGCUAAAGCUAAGUUAACAAGAACCUGUGUGUAUUAGGAAGGGAGAAAUAGUGUGCUGGGAAACUCAGGAGGAACACUUAAACCAGAGAGGAGUUCCCAGAGUGAGCUUCCUGGAGGAAGUGACCUGACAUAAAAAUGAAAUUUAAAAGACAGGAGGACUAGCCAGAAAAGCAAAGUAAGGAGGCAAGUUUAUAAGCAGAGAGUAUAGCAAUGUGUAGAAGGCAAGAGGCAGAGAGCAAGAACCUAGUACCUUCAAGAACUGAAAUUCCAUCAGACCUGAGAGUGUCCAGUUAGAUAUAAGAAGUAGCAAGAGAUGACUUUAACAGAUGAGUAUAGAUCCUGCAGAGGCAUUUGGGACUUUAUCCCAAUAGCAGUGGGAUCUUAAAGGUUUUAAACAGCAGAAACGUACUAGAUUGAUGUUUCUAAGAGCACAGUUGAGAGAUCUGGGGGUGAGGGCUGGCUGAGAGCAAAUGAAAUGACUUGUGGAAGAUGGUGAAAAGAAGACAAAUCAUGGAAACAUCAAAUAUGAAAAUCGGCAGAGGAAAACGAGACCACAGGAGCAGAAAACUUUUAAGUAAUUUACCCAUGACCUGACACACUGCCAAAAAGGUCAAGGAAAACAAAGCCUAAAAGUUUUCCAUUGGGUUUAGCAAUGAGGUAGUCUAUGGUAAGAUGAAGAAGCCCAUUAAUACUAGUAUCCAAAUACAUUCUCCAAUGGUUGAUGUGAUAUGUUAGCAUUUUGGUUUCAUUUUGUAACCCUUUAAUUAUUUUUUUUUUUUAAGUAAUCUUUAUGCCCAGUGUGGGGCUUGAACUGAUGACCCCGAGAUCCCGCUAAACCAGCCAGGUUUUACUUAUUGAUUAACAAUAAGAUACCACACAUGCUGUUAUUCUGAAAUCAGCAGUACUGCCAAGAACAAAGAACCAAUGGGAAGAGAAGCCAUUUGUGCUCCAUUGUUUCUGAAUUUGGAAAAUAAGUUCUGAGACCAAACAUCAUGUGCUUUUUGAGGGAUCAAGUGUGAAGAUUGUUGUCACAAAUUAGUAGGACUACCUGGUAUUCAGAAUUUUGAAAAAUCACUGCAUUGCACAAUAUAAUAAUAAACUGACUAACAGCACAGCCGUAUGGAAAAUAAACACAGAAGAGCAAGAGCAUAAGCAACAAUGAAUCACAGAAACUGAGAGUUGGAGUGCUGCAUAUUGCAGAGGCUCAGAGUUUCCAAAAACUGUUAUAUGAGUGAUGAGGUACAGAUGCUAAGUCAUGCAUGCAGAGAGGAGUUCAUUUGUAUUGCGAAGCCUGCACUGUAUCCACAUGUAGCUGAAUAAACUGAACUGAACAGAGACUAUUGAAUUUCCAAGGUUUCUUUCUAUAUUUCUGGAUUGUUUUAACUAUAAACACCAAAGACAUACAUUAGUGGACAAUGUGAGGGCAGGGAUUGUUUGGGUAUUGUUUUUUUGAAGAUAGGAAAAUAUAUUAGACACAAUGGCAGCUGUUAUUUUUAUUCAUCCUUAUUACAUAAAAUAAGUAAAAGAUGAUAAUGUUAAAAUUAUUAUGAGGUAUUUAUUUCAUUCACUUUCAUUAUUUAGUAACUGAUGUAUCUGUAUCACUAUGUUUGCAAAAUAUUAGUUAGAAAAUUGAAAAUCUAAUUGUGUGUUCUCUUGUUUUGGCCUGUUUUCGAUACAAGUUCCAACAGCAAAUAAAUUUACCUUCUUGGGGCGAAAAUGCUAGUUUAAGGAUUUUAAUUAAUUUCUUCUGAGGUAACCAGUCUGUAAGUUUCUAAACUUUUCUAAACCUUUUAUCCAAAUAUUAGUGGAAGAAAUACCAUCUACCUUUGUAAAUAUAAAGUUAUGAUCUACUUAUUUUAGAAAACUAGUAACACAAAGCUCAACUCAACUAUAACCAGAUUGGCAUAUUUAAACUUUUAAUCUCAGAAAUCAGAAUAUUUCAAAAAUAAAAUAAGGAACUCUGUCAUUUGGGGUCAAAUUUGGGAGGAAAUAGCUAAAAUCACAGCUUGAUAACUAGCACCAAUGAUUAAUUGCUUUUUCAACAUGUGGAUUAUCUUGGUGCCAAAAAUUAUGGAACAAUUGCCUAACAAAUUGGAGAGUCCCUGAUGUCAGUACUCAUAUUUUCUUUGGAUUAUACUAAGCAAUUAUGCUAACCUUACUAAUGACUGAGUAAAAUGGUAUUGUGCCUUGGGGCACAUUUUGAUGAACUACAGUUGUACUUCUCAUAACCUAAGAGGCAUAUGCAUAAAGAAGUAUAUUGUUCAGAAUAGGGCUCUGUGACCUUUAUGUUAGAUUAUAGAGAAUUAUAAAUAUCUAUCACAUAACUAUGAAUAUGUUUAUCAUUAAUAGUCACAACUUUAAAUUAUUUACCUUCCUGAAAAAUUAGCUGAUAAAAGCUCAUCUCCAAAUAAAUGUUUGAUUUAAAUAGCUCCGUUUUUGUUCCUAGAAUUUACUACCCCAUACCACAUCCUCAUAUUCAGUUCAAUUUAUUAUUUGUACUAAAUUUAUUUGCAUUUAUUAUUUAUACUGUAUUUAUGAUAUCAGAUAAAUCUUUUAAAACAUG
Molecule: long non-coding RNA, 2884 nt
Organism: Leopardus geoffroyi (Geoffroy's cat)
Lineage: Eukaryota; Metazoa; Chordata; Mammalia; Carnivora; Felidae
Exons: 2
Source: RefSeq, a predicted model, not a curated record